Molecule: ribosomal RNA, 531 nt
Filed under: uncultured euryarchaeote
Lineage: Archaea; Methanobacteriati; Methanobacteriota
Description: bacterial SSU rRNA
Rfam family: Archaeal small subunit ribosomal RNA
Source: RNAcentral
GAUGAUAUCUGAGACACGAUAUCAGGCCCUACGGGGCGCAGCAGGCGCGAAACCUUCACACUGCGCGAAAGCGCGAUGAGGGAAUCCCAAGUGCUUGCACGUAAGUGUAAGCUGUUUUUAUGUCUAAAAAGCAUAGAGAGUAAGAGCUGGGUAAGACGGGUGCCAGCCGCCGCGGUAAUACCUGCAGCUCGAGUGGUGGUCGCUAUUAUUGGGCCUAAAACGUUCGUAGCCGGUUUGUUAAAUGCCUAGGUAAAUAGUAUAGCUUAACUAUACGAAUUCUGGGUAGACUGUCAAACUUGAGAUCGGGAGAGGCUAGAGGUACUCCUGGGGUAGAGGUGAAAUUCUGUAAUCCUAGGGGGACCACCAGUGGCGAAGGCGUCUAGCUAGAACGAGUCUGACGGUGAGGGACGAAGCCCUGGGGCGCAAACGGGAUUAGAUACCCCGGUAGUCCAGGGUGUAAACGCUGCUUGCUUGAUGUUAGUCGGGCUCUGAGCCCGAUUAGUGUCGGAGAGAAGUUUGUUUAGCAAGCUG